GCUGAGCUCUGAAAAAGUACAGUGAUGCAGAAGAGUGCUCUGUAUGUACUCGACCAGGGGACAUGCCUGAGGAGCACAUUAUGAUUUGCCACAGCAUGCUUGGGCUCACACUGCUGCUGCUGUCUCUGACGGCGAACCUCCACCUGGGCUUUGUUUGGGCAAAAAGUAUUGACCCAACAGAUGGUCCCAAAACUACAAAAUCCUCAGCCUCGUGCCCUCCUCCACCGGUGAUGGAAAAUGUACAGCCAUUCAAUGAAACACAGACACUCCAAGAGGGCUGCAUAUUGCGGUAUGCCUGCAAGAAGGGCUAUCUGAGAAAAGCAGGGACCUCCAACUAUUUUCAAUGUGUUAAUAAAAAUGGAACCCUGAAGUGGCGUCACGGAGAGUUUGCCUGCAUAAGUAUGUCAGAGACGAAGACAGUCGAAGUUCCUCAUAUAGAUUGUUCCAAAGCUAAGCCAAAAGCUCAAUCUACCACUAUGGAAACAAGCACAGUGCAACACUUGUCGCUAUCUACAAGAUCAGAACAAGAUAAAUUAAUUCAAAAUUUGGAUUUUUCAUGUGUAACAAUUGGAGUCUGCAGUGCGGCUGGACUCAUUCUCGGUCUCAGUAUUGGAGGAGCUGUACUGUGGCGCCAAAGACAACACUCAAAGAAGCGCCAAGGCGGACAUGGAGGUGUACACAUCACAGAGACACAGCCCAUAUCCCGUGUAGAAUGAACCAAGCUGAAUGAAGACAAACAAAUGUUUGGGUUUUGGAGUUUUAAAGGACCCAGAUCUUGAGGCUACGAUGUUAUAAUUGCUGUUAGAUACACAGCUUGUCUAUUAAACUGAAUGUCAAUUACCAAUACAUGUCAGCUGUAGUAGUAGCAUACAGAACAGAACUUUCAUAUAUGAGUUUGUAAGGCAACUUGACACAUCUAACUGGGUUUGAAAGAGGCCAGACAGUCAGUGCAUAAAUAACAGGAAAAACUGCACUACAAAAAUUAGACCAGGGGGUCAAUAUAGAAAAUUGUUACCAUGUACCAGCUUACAGCAAUGAAAACCGUAUCAAAAAGUUCUUCCAAUUUAUUUAUCAUAACCUGUUGUCUAAGGCAUGGGACAAGUGGUUCAGAAAAUGUGUGUGUGUGUGUGUGUGUGUGUGUGUGUGUGUGUUGUCUAAGGCAGCUUACAAUGUUAAUGUUGUAUAAAGUGCUUACAAAGUCACAAGAGAGCAAUCAGAUAAUAAUAAUGCAAUAUAAAAUAUUGUGCUACCGCAAGAUGAGUUACACUAGACAACCGUUGGUAUUAGACAAAAGACAGUGAUAAGCAAUGCCAGUGACAGGCAAAGUGAAGCCAUUAUCAAGUUGUGAUUCGUACCUGAUUCUGAGUGGAGUCUCGCUCCAUUCUUCAGUGUUACUAGGCGGAGAUUAGAUAGAUAAAUAGAUAGAUAGAUAGAUAGAUAGAUAGAUAGAUGGAUUUUUGAAAAAAUAUUUUGGGAAAAUGCAAAAUAAAAGCUUCUACAGUCUCUUUCGCUUGCA
RNAcentral lists this long non-coding RNA (1516 nucleotides) under Scleropages formosus (Asian bonytongue). RNAcentral's name for it is "lncRNA (ENSSFOG00015032186.1)". The record is from RNAcentral. Lineage: Eukaryota; Metazoa; Chordata; Actinopteri; Osteoglossiformes; Osteoglossidae.